CCUGGAUCAGUGGCGAACGGGUGAGUAACACGUGAGCAAUCUGCCCUUGACUCUGGGAUAAGCGUUGGAAACGACGUCUAAUACCGGAUACGACCCUCGGAGGCAUCUCCUGGGGGUGGAAAGAAUUUUGGUCAAGGAUGAGCUCGCGGCCUAUCAGCUUGUUGGUGAGGUAAUGGCUCACCAAGGCGACGACGGGUAGCCGGCCUGAGAGGGUGACCGGCCACACUGGGACUGAGACACGGCCCAGACUCCUACGGGAGGCAGCAGUGGGGAAUAUUGCACAAUGGGCGCAAGCCUGAUGCAGCAACGCCGCGUGAGGGACGACGGCCUUCGGGUUGUAAACCUCUUUUAGUAGGGAAGAAGCGAAAGUGACGGUACCUGCAGAAAAAGCACCGGCUAACUACGUGCCAGCAGCCGCGGUAAUACGUAGGGUGCAAGCGUUGUCCGGAAUUAUUGGGCGUAAAGAGCUCGUAGGCGGUUUGUCGCGUCUGCUGUGAAAACCCGAGGCUCAACCUCGGGCCUGCAGUGGGUACGGGCAGACUAGAGUGCGGUAGGGGAGAUUGGAAUUCCUGGUGUAGCGGUGGAAUGCGCAGAUAUCAGGAGGAACACCGAUGGCGAAGGCAGAUCUCUGGGCCGUAACUGACGCUGAGGAGCGAAAGCAUGGGGAGCGAACAGGAUUAGAUACCCUGGUAGUCCAUGCCGUAAACGUUGGGAACUAGAUGUGGGGACCAUUCCACGGUCUCCGUGUCGCAGCUAACGCAUUAAGUUCCCCGCCUGGGGAGUACGGCCGCAAGGCUAAAACUCAAAGGAAUUGACGGGGGCCCGCACAAGCGGCGGAGCAUGCGGAUUAAUUCGAUGCAACGCGAAGAACCUUACCAAGGCUUGACAUAUACCGGAAACGUCUGGAAACAGUCGCCCCGCAAGGUCGGUAUACAGGUGGUGCAUGGUUGUCGUCAGCUCGUGUCGUGAGAUGUUGGGUUAAGUCCCGCAACGAGCGCAACCCUCGUCCUAUGUUGCCAGCACGUAAUGGUGGGAACUCAUGGGAUACUGCCGGGGUCAACUCGGAGGAAGGUGGGGAUGACGUCAAAUCAUCAUGCCCCUUAUGUCUUGGGCUUCACGCAUGCUACAAUGGCCGGUACAAAGGGCUGCGAUACCGUAAGGUGGAGCGAAUCCCAAAAAGCCGGUCUCAGUUCGGAUUGAGGUCUGCAACUCGACCUCAUGAAGUCGGAGUCGCUAGUAAUCGCAGAUCAGCAACGCUGCGGUGAAUACGUUCCCGGGCCUUGUACACACCGCCCGUCAAGUCAUGAAAGUCGGUAACACCC
Molecule: ribosomal RNA, 1322 nt
Filed under: Cryobacterium sp.
Lineage: Bacteria; Bacillati; Actinomycetota; Actinomycetes; Micrococcales; Microbacteriaceae
Description: bacterial SSU rRNA
Rfam family: Bacterial small subunit ribosomal RNA
Source: RNAcentral